ACGCUCGACACCUACGGGGGCAGCAGUGGGGAAUAUUGCACAAUGGGGGAAACCCUGAUGCAGCGACGCCGCGUGAGCGAAGAAGUAUUUCGGUAUGUAAAGCUCUAUCAGCAGGGAAGAAACUGACGGUACCUGACUAAGAAGCACCGGCUAAAUACGUGCUAGCAGCCGCGGUAAUCUGAGCGGGCUGGCAAGGC
Molecule: ribosomal RNA, 197 nt
Filed under: uncultured bacterium
Lineage: Bacteria
Description: partial 16S ribosomal RNA
Rfam family: Bacterial small subunit ribosomal RNA
Source: RNAcentral